AUGACCUCGCGGAUGGAGAGGGAUUCGAACCCCCGGUAUUCCUAUCAAUACUUCCGUUUUCAGGACCGACUCUUUCAACCACUCAGACAUCCAUCCCUGCGCUCACCCCUAUCUAUCUGCGCGCUGGCAGGUAGGGGCAACUCUAUGUGA
This 150-nucleotide ribosomal RNA is filed under the name Triticum aestivum (bread wheat). RNAcentral's name for it is "partial small subunit ribosomal RNA". Lineage: Eukaryota; Viridiplantae; Streptophyta; Magnoliopsida; Poales; Poaceae. The record is from RNAcentral.